This 253-nucleotide ribosomal RNA is filed under the name uncultured bacterium. RNAcentral's name for it is "partial 16S ribosomal RNA". It matches the Rfam family "Bacterial small subunit ribosomal RNA", at positions 524 to 776 of the family's 1533-position model. The record is from RNAcentral.
UACGUAGGGGGCAAGCGUUGUCCGGAAUCAUUGGGCGUAAAGAGCGUGUAGGCGGCUCGGUAAGUCCGCUGUGAAAGUCCAGGGCUCAACCCUGGAAUGCCGGUGGAAACUGUCGAGCUCGAGUCCGGAAGAGGCGAGUGGAAUUCCUGGUGUAGCGGUGAAAUGCGCAGAUAUCAGGAGGAACACCCGUGGCGAAGGCGGCUCUCUGGGACGGCACUGACGCUGAGACGCGAAAGCGUGGGGAGCGAACAGG